UGUUUGUCCCUGGUUCCUGUGUUGCCUACCUAUUGGAAGGUACUCUUGUGGCUUGUUGGACUUUAUCCAUCCCAGCCUUUGAUGGGUUGAGGAGGGCUUUCGUGGCAAUACACAAUUACCUAUUUAGUCUGGUUCUAUGGCGACUAUUUUGGUUUGUGUGUAUUGAUCGUGUUCUUGGAUGCGGUGCAUGAGGCGGACGUGGGUUGUUUUCCCUACGGUGUCCCUUAAUCGUUUUGGUUGCCUUGAACAAUGCUUGCCCUCUUGUGUGCUUUGGUAUCCAUUAUUUGGUGCAGAGCUUGCAUGAUGGGCAGA
RNAcentral lists this unclassified non-coding RNA (312 nucleotides) under Alhagi sparsifolia. Its description in RNAcentral is "partial external transcribed spacer". Lineage: Eukaryota; Viridiplantae; Streptophyta; Magnoliopsida; Fabales; Fabaceae. The record is from RNAcentral.